UGAGUAGAAGCCGUGUGUUGCCUGUUC
RNAcentral lists this non-coding RNA (27 nucleotides) under Mus musculus (house mouse). Lineage: Eukaryota; Metazoa; Chordata; Mammalia; Rodentia; Muridae. The record is from RNAcentral.